UGUCAAAAUCCAAAACGGAGGAAAAGAAAAUAACAAUGAGUUCCCCUAGUAGCGGCGAGUGAACAGGGAAAAGCUCACAGUUGGAACCUAGCUGCCUUAGGUAGUUCGGAUUGUAAACUGAAAAAGUGUUAUCCAGGCUAGCCGAGUAAAUAAGUUUCUUGGAACAGAACAUCAUGGAGGGUGAGAAUCCCGUCUUUGGCUUGAGCAUAGUCUUUUGUGUUGCACUUUAACGAGUCAGGUUGUUUGGGAAUGCAGCCUAAAGUGGGAGGUAAAUCCCUCCUAAAGCUAAAUAUUGGCGAGAGACCGAUAGCAAACAAGUACCGUGAGGGAAAGAUGAAAAGAACUUUGAAAAGAGAGUUAAACAGUAUGUGAAAUUGCUAAAAGGGAAGCGUUUGAAGACAGACUAGCUUGGUUAUAAUCAGCCUGGAUUUUUCUUGGUGUACUUGUAGCCUAUGCUUGUCAACAGCAGUUUGGUUUGGCUGAAAAAACUGAUAGUAAGGUGGCUCUCUUCGGGGAGUGUUAUAGACUGUUAGAAAAUCAGUUGGACUGGACUGAGGAAUGCAAUGCAGCUUGCCUUGGGGUGAACCAGAUUGGAUAGGAACCAUUGUUCUUUGAAGGUUUGGGUAGCUCUUCGAACUGUAUUUAGGUUGUUGGCUUAAUCCGAUCUUUAAACGGCCCGUCUG
RNAcentral lists this ribosomal RNA (683 nucleotides) under Circinella umbellata. Its description in RNAcentral is "eukaryotic LSU rRNA". It matches the Rfam family "Eukaryotic large subunit ribosomal RNA", at positions 36 to 655 of the family's 3401-position model. Lineage: Eukaryota; Fungi; Mucoromycota; Mucoromycetes; Mucorales; Lichtheimiaceae. The record is from RNAcentral.